This is a long non-coding RNA of Musa acuminata AAA Group (dessert banana), 547 nucleotides long. RefSeq lists it as uncharacterized. The record is from RefSeq and is a predicted model, not a curated record. NCBI's taxonomy places the organism in Eukaryota, Viridiplantae, Streptophyta, Magnoliopsida, Zingiberales, Musaceae. The transcript is spliced from 3 exons.
GACAAUUGGGUUUUGGAUCAGCUUUUCGAGGUGGGAAUGAACGACGGUAUCUGCAACACUGCCUUCUCAUCCACAAACGUCGACUCGGAGCUCUACAUCCCAAAAAAUUCCUCCAUUUUUCUGCUGUUUAUCCGAAGAAGCCAACCAAACGAAGUGAAUCGAAGCCACAGAUUUCCAGCAAUCUUGCUCCAUAAUUUGCGACUCCUAUCCGGUUUUUUGAUGUGGACAACUGAGUGUGCAUGGAAAUUAACCUCCUAAAAUAGAACUAAUGGAUUGAGUUGGGGGGUCAAAUUUCUGCAGAAAGAAGCACAUGAGGUUCACAGGUCAUCGAAAGGCUUGACGAGUGAUGGGAGUAUCUGCCACUGACUUCCAUGUCUGACUAAACUGGCUCGCUUAAAAUCAUCUUCCCAGACACUCUCAAAAGACCAAGUAGGAACUUUUGGACCUCCAUCGAUGCCAAAGACUUCAUCCGGUCCCAGUUGCUGUUUCUUUCGGGCAUCACUCAGUGUACGAGUUCACCAUACAACAGUCCAGAACAAUCUAAGAG